UCCAUUAUAAUAGACGAGUGCCCAGGGG
This 28-nucleotide small RNA is filed under the name Bombyx mori (domestic silkworm). RNAcentral's name for it is "ovarian small RNA-27065". Lineage: Eukaryota; Metazoa; Arthropoda; Insecta; Lepidoptera; Bombycidae. The record is from RNAcentral.